Molecule: non-coding RNA, 73 nt
Organism: Trichechus manatus latirostris (Florida manatee)
Lineage: Eukaryota; Metazoa; Chordata; Mammalia; Sirenia; Trichechidae
Source: the annotation of a RefSeq genome assembly
GUUUCCGUAGUGUAGUGGCUGUCAUGUUCAUCUCACACUCGAAAGGUCCCCGGUUCAAAACCAGGCGGGAACA